RNAcentral lists this ribosomal RNA (763 nucleotides) under Heyndrickxia ginsengihumi. RNAcentral's name for it is "bacterial SSU rRNA". It matches the Rfam family "Bacterial small subunit ribosomal RNA", at positions 77 to 823 of the family's 1533-position model. The record is from RNAcentral. Lineage: Bacteria; Bacillati; Bacillota; Bacilli; Caryophanales; Bacillaceae.
AGCUUGCUUUUGAUCAGUUAGCGGCGGACGGGUGAGUAACACGUGGGUAACCUGCCUGUAAGACUAGGAUAACUCCGGGAAACCGGGGCUAAUACUGGAUAACUUUUCUCUCCGCAUGGAGAGAGAUUGAAAGAUGGCUUCGGCUAUCACUUACAGAUGGACCCGCGGCGCAUUAGCUAGUUGGUGAGGUAACGGCUCACCAAGGCAACGAUGCGUAGCCGACCUGAGAGGGUGAUCGGCCACAUUGGGACUGAGACACGGCCCAAACUCCUACGGGAGGCAGCAGUAGGGAAUCUUCCGCAAUGGACGAAAGUCUGACGGAGCAACGCCGCGUGAGUGAAGAAGGUCUUCGGAUCGUAAAACUCUGUUGUUAGGGAAGAACAAGUAUCGUUCGAAUAGGGCGGUACCUUGACGGUACCUAACCAGAAAGCCACGGCUAACUACGUGCCAGCAGCCGCGGUAAUACGUAGGUGGCAAGCGUUGUCCGGAAUUAUUGGGCGUAAAGCGCGCGCAGGCGGUCUUUUAAGUCUGAUGUGAAAGCCCACGGCUCAACCGUGGAGGGUCAUUGGAAACUGGAAGACUUGAGUGCAGAAGAGGAGAGUGGAAUUCCACGUGUAGCGGUGAAAUGCGUAGAGAUGUGGAGGAACACCAGUGGCGAAGGCGACUCUCUGGUCUGUAACUGACGCUGAGGCGCGAAAGCGUGGGGAGCAAACAGGAUUAGAUACCCUGGUAGUCCACGCCGUAAACGAUGAGUGCUAAGUGU